Molecule: non-coding RNA, 29 nt
Filed under: Homo sapiens (human)
Lineage: Eukaryota; Metazoa; Chordata; Mammalia; Primates; Hominidae
Source: RNAcentral
UCCUUGACUCUGGGUCAGCAGGCUGGGGA